ACACACACACACACACUGAACACACACUAUUACCAGUCUGAGCCUUUAACUCUAGGCGUUUAUCUUCAGUAACAGCGGCUCUGUCUUAUUGCAAACAUGGGCAACUAUUUCUCUCUGAUUUUCUCUCGUCUCUAUCCGAAAAAGCAGAUUAGGUUGCUUAUGGUGGGUCUGGACGCAGCAGGGAAAACAACAGUCCUCUACAAACUCAAACUCGGCGAAGUUGUCACAACUAUUCCAACUAUAGGUUUUAAUGUUGAAACAGUUGAAUAUAAAAA
Long non-coding RNA from Cyprinus carpio (common carp), 275 nucleotides. RefSeq lists it as uncharacterized. The transcript has 3 exons. The record is from RefSeq and is a predicted model, not a curated record. NCBI's taxonomy places the organism in Eukaryota, Metazoa, Chordata, Actinopteri, Cypriniformes, Cyprinidae.